This 207-nucleotide ribosomal RNA is filed under the name uncultured bacterium. RNAcentral's name for it is "partial 16S ribosomal RNA". It matches the Rfam family "Bacterial small subunit ribosomal RNA", at positions 568 to 774 of the family's 1533-position model. The record is from RNAcentral.
AGUGUAGGCGGUUUGAUAAGUCGGGUGUGAAAGCCCUGGGCUCAACCCAGGAAGUGCACUCGAUACUGUCAGGCUAGAGUAUCGGAGAGGUUGGUGGAAUUCUCGGUGUAGAGGUGAAAUUCGUAGAUAUCGAGAGGAACACCGGUGGCGAAGGCGGCCAACUGGACGAAUACUGACGCUGAGACUCGAAAGCGUGGGGAGCAAACA